GUGAAUCAUCGAAUCUUUGAACGCACAUUGCACUCCCUGGUAUUCCGGGGAGUAUGCCUGUUUGAGGAUCGUUAGAAAAAAAAAUAGAGGCGUUGCUCUUUUUUAGAGGGUGAUGGCGGCGGAAUUGAGCCGUCUGUUAAAAGGUAAUUAAUGUCAAAGUGGGUUAAAAAACAUUAAUCCGGUACGAUUAAAACGAAUUUAAGAUAAAUUUUGAUUAAGAACGCGCGAUGGA
RNAcentral lists this unclassified non-coding RNA (232 nucleotides) under Glomeraceae sp. RNAcentral's name for it is "partial contains 5.8S ribosomal RNA and internal transcribed spacer 2". The stretch from base 1 to 71 matches the Rfam family "5.8S ribosomal RNA", at positions 84 to 154 of the family's 154-position model. The record is from RNAcentral. Lineage: Eukaryota; Fungi; Glomeromycota; Glomeromycetes; Glomerales; Glomeraceae.